This 470-nucleotide ribosomal RNA is filed under the name uncultured bacterium. RNAcentral describes it as "partial 16S ribosomal RNA". It matches the Rfam family "Bacterial small subunit ribosomal RNA", at positions 28 to 507 of the family's 1533-position model. The record is from RNAcentral.
GACGAACGCUGGCGGCGUGCUUAACACAUGCAAGUCGAACGCUGAAGCACCAGCUUGCUGGUGUGGAUGAGUGGCGAACGGGUGAGUAAUACGUGAGUAACCUGCCCUUGACUCUGGGAUAAGCCCGGGAAACUGGGUCUAAUACUGGAUGCUACAUGUCACCGCAUGGUGGUGUGUGGAAAGGGUUUACUGGUCUUGGAUGGGCUCACGGCCUAUCAGCUUGUUGGUGAGGUAAUGGCUCACCAAGGCUACGACGGGUAGCCGGCCUGAGUGGGUGACCGGCCACACUGGGACUGAGACACGGCCCAGACUCCAACGGGAGGCAGCAGUGGGAAAUAUUGCACAAUGGGCGAAAGCCUGAUGCAGCGACGCCGCGGGAGGGAUGACGGCCUUCGGGUUGUAAACCUGUUUCAGCAGGGAAGAAGCCACAAGUGACGGUACCUGCAGAAGAAGCGCCGGCUAACUACGUG